Molecule: ribosomal RNA, 1097 nt
Filed under: Fusarium oxysporum
Lineage: Eukaryota; Fungi; Ascomycota; Sordariomycetes; Hypocreales; Nectriaceae
Description: eukaryotic LSU rRNA
Rfam family: 5.8S ribosomal RNA (bases 756-909)
Source: RNAcentral
UCGCGUAGGGACACUGACGGGCCCCAGUAAAUGGAACGCAAUAACGGUUCCCCACCAACUGCUGAAGUUCGAAUACUGAAAGAUCCCCCGAAUAAUGGCGUGGGGCAUUGCGUUACUGAAGGAUGGAGAAAUAGGGAGUGCAGUACUAAGACACGGUGGCGUCGAGACGAACUCGCGCCCUAGUCAACAGUGAUGAACGGAUGAAUAGAUCUACGGUGCCUCGCAAGUGAAGAGGGAGACGGAGGUUAGCAUCUCUAUGGACGUCCCGUCUGCUAGAGCGGGCAGAUCGUACGAGCCAGUAAGCGGCAGGAUCAUAAGAGCCGCCAAGAAGAACACCUAUAGAAGAGAAGAGCUGGUUCAUGGAGGAAAUCCCUUUUCGCCCUUUCCCUUUCAAGAAGCGAUUUGUUUGAGAAUGCAAUUACGUCCCUUGGCCUUUGUACACACCGCCCGUCGCUACUACCGAUUGAAUGGCUCAGUGAGGCGUCCGGACUGGCCCAGAGAGGUGGGCAACUACCACUCAGGGCCGGAAAGCUCUCCAAACUCGGUCAUUUAGAGGAAGUAAAGUCGUAACAAGGUCUCCGUUGGUGAACCAGCGGAGGGAUCAUUACCGAGUUUACAACUCCCAAACCCCUGUGAACAUACCACUUGUUGCCUCGGCGGAUCAGCCCGCUCCCGGUAAAACGGGACGGCCCGCCAGAGGACCCCUAAACUCUGUUUCUAUAUGUAACUUCUGAGUAAAACCAUAAAUAAAUCAAAACUUUCAACAACGGAUCUCUUGGUUCUGGCAUCGAUGAAGAACGCAGCAAAAUGCGAUAAGUAAUGUGAAUUGCAGAAUUCAGUGAAUCAUCGAAUCCUUGAACGCACAUUGCGCCCGCCAGUAUUCUGGCGGGCAUGCCUGUUCGAGCGUCAUUUCAACCCUCAAGCACAGCUUGGUGUUGGGACUCGCGUUAAUUCGCGUUCCCCAAAUUGAUUGGCGGUCACGUCGAGCUUCCAUAGCGUAGUAGUAAAACCCUCGUUACUGGUAAUCGUCGCGGCCACGCCGUUAAACCCCAACUUCUGACAUGUGACCUCGGAUCAGGUUAGAAUCCCCGGUUAAU